UAAUACGGAGGGUCCAAGCGUUAUCCGGAUUUAUUGGGUUUAAAGGGUGCGCAGGCGGAACUUUAAGUCAGUGGUGAAAUCUUGCCGCUUAACGGUAAAAUUGCCAUUGAUACUGAAGUUCUUGAAUGUAGUUGAGGUAGGCGGAAUGUGUUGUGUAGCGGUGAAAUGCAUAGAUAUGACACAGAACGCCAAUUGCGAAGGCAGCUUACUAAGCUACGAUUGACGCUGAGGCACGAAAGCGUGGGGAGCGAACAGGAUUAGAUACCCUGGUAGUCCACGCCGUAAACGAUGAUCACUCGCUGUUUGCGAUACACAGUAAGCGGCUGAGCGAAAGCAUUAAGUGAUCCACCUGGGGAGUACGAUCGCAAGGUUG
RNAcentral lists this ribosomal RNA (373 nucleotides) under uncultured bacterium. Its description in RNAcentral is "bacterial SSU rRNA". It matches the Rfam family "Bacterial small subunit ribosomal RNA", at positions 521 to 896 of the family's 1533-position model. The record is from RNAcentral.